Molecule: long non-coding RNA, 455 nt
Organism: Glycine soja
Lineage: Eukaryota; Viridiplantae; Streptophyta; Magnoliopsida; Fabales; Fabaceae
Exons: 3
Source: RefSeq, a predicted model, not a curated record
CUACGAGAACUGGAAGGAGGUCCCUACUGCUCAGAAGGACCUCAUUUGGGAGGAUAUUCAGACGGAAUUUGAUAUCCCAGAGGCUUUCGACAGUAGGACAAAAAGGAAGUUACUACAAACUGUGUGGGAGAGAUGGACGUAGUUUAAAUUAGACCUCAUGAGGAAAUGGGCCCUUGCAGCCGAUCAGGACAGUGUCGAGGACAUUGUCUGUGACAAAUACGGCAUCAGCAAGGAAAAGUGGGCCCAGUUUUGCCAGACUCGCAAAGACCCUUCUUGGGAGGAUGUGCGCAUCAAGGCACAGGCCAUCUAGAAGCAGAAUACUGUCCCCCGCGUUUUGUCUCGUGGGGGUUAUGAUUAUUUGGAGCAGAAGCUCCUAGCUAAGAAGACCAAGAAGAAGCUGCACAGUCAGGAAGCGUUGAUGGCGUCAUCGACCCUCCAUCCCCGGUCAGACACCA